Molecule: long non-coding RNA, 422 nt
Filed under: Homo sapiens (human)
Lineage: Eukaryota; Metazoa; Chordata; Mammalia; Primates; Hominidae
Description: HSALNT0175749
Source: RNAcentral
AGCACCACUGACUGGAGUGCCCCAGCAUGUCCCCGUGCGCCUUGUCACUGUGGACGGCGGGGGGGCCUUGGUGGAGGUGACAGAGCAUGUCGGCUGCGAGUCUGCCAACACACAGGUCCUGCAGGUGUCUGAGGCCUGUGAUGCCGUGUUCGUGCUGAAGGGUGAGUGGAGGCCUGAGGAAGCUGGCAGGCCUUGGCGAGUCACACUGGGACGGAGAGGGCGCAGGGGACACAGCCAUGGGCCCAAGUCGGGGUCAGAAAAACUGCCCUGUUGCUUGCAGUUCCUUCUGCCCACCUCCACCCUGGGCCGCCCAGCCAAUGAUCGCUUUCUGUGAAAUUGCUGACUUCCGCAUCCCUCUCCUCCUUCCCUGCCUCACUUCUCCCGUAGCACCCUCCACUUCCUAAUCUACGUCAGUACUGGUU